GUGGGUCCUUUAAUUACACAUUUUAAUGUUCAAAAUAUCAUAACACCUACUCAAAGAAGUCCACAGACAUCAUAUCUGAAUAAAUGUGUCUUAUAAGUGACUUACUUCAAUUGAGCUUGACUGUUCAGUCUGUGGUUCUCUUCCAGGGCUGCCACACGGGGUUCUUCAGUCGGUUCUGUGGUUGAUCUAGUUGAUGACUCUGUAGUUGGAGUUUCCAGAGCAGAUAAAAGUUCCCCAUGUUCACUUGUAGGCUGGUUUUCUACCUGUCUGGGUUCGAGUAGAGCCUCUACUACAGGUGCAUGUGCUAUUGAGACUUGUUCAACUGUAUCAUCCUCUUUAUUCUCUGUAGUCAGUGAAGGCUUUGCUGGGUUCUCAUGUAGGGUUUUGACUGUUUUCUCCUGCAGCACUCCACUGGAUUGUGUUUGAUUUGUUGAAGCUCCAUCUACAGGUGUCUUCCUUGUUCCCUCUACAGUCUCUGUGUGUCUCUCUGCAGGUUUCUCCACUAUGUUCUUUACAGGAACAUCUGUAGGUGUCUUCAAUGGUUCCUCUACAGGUUUAACUAUAUUCUCCACUACGCACAUUUUAGGAGUGUCUGCAUGUGUCUUCAAUGGUUCUUUAACAGGUUUCUCCACUACAGCCAAUUUAGGAGCAUCUGCAUGCAUAUUCAUUGGUUCCUCUACAGGUUUAUUUGUAGGUUUCUCCAUUAUGUCCUUUACAGAAACAUCUGCAUGCGUCUUCAAUGGUUCGUCUGCAGGUAUAGCGAUUGGUUUUUCCACUAUGUCCUUUACAGAAGCAUCUGCUGGUGUCUUCAGUGGUUGCUCUGUGGCUUUGGCUAUGGAUGUCUCCACUGCUUUCUCUACAUGUGCUCUCCUGGGGUCCUCAAGGACAGGAUGUGCACUGGAACAAAUUCAGAAUAAUUAUGAAGCAUCUGAUUGUCCUUAAUGAAAUGUAAUUGAAUGCAGUAUAUUGAAUGUAGAAACAAUGAAUACAGGAAUCACACACAAAGAAAAUAAGAAAAGCUCUCACUCAAACUUCCUUAAGGCUGACACGACAUAAGAGCUUUGAGGGGGUGUGGACGAGUCCAGGCUGGAGGAGGUGGUGGUACUCUCUGUACAUGGCAUGACGGAGGAAGAGAUCGAACUGCUUUCAGGUGAUGAAACAUUUUUAGGUUUUCCUUGCUUUAUUGGUUUACUGUUAGAGAGUAAAAAGUGAAAUAAAUUGAG
Molecule: long non-coding RNA, 1223 nt
Organism: Cyprinus carpio carpio
Lineage: Eukaryota; Metazoa; Chordata; Actinopteri; Cypriniformes; Cyprinidae
Source: Ensembl